AAGGAAGAAAAGAUUUUUAAUCCCCGUGAUAAUAAUCAGCUGACUGCGGAUAUUUUUGCAAGUAUAUUCUUUCUUUUUUAAGAAUACGCUGAAAGGUAUUAUUUUCUUUUGCAAACUCUAUGCAUUUUGUAUCCUCUGAAUAUGUUAUUUUAUUUUAUAUUAUCUAGUAUAUAUUACUAUGUGUUGUGAAUAGAUACCGUGUAAUAAUCAAAGUAUUUUGGAUUGUUUAAUAAUCAAGGUACACUCGUGAUCAGACUUCCCCAGGAAAAAUGGUAAUGUCCAGGUUUCUCACCCUUCCCCAUAGGCGUCCUCGGGGAAAAUGCAAUAUACUUGACACCGGAGCAACCAAACUCAUAAAAAUGAUGGAUAUCAAAUUUUAUUUUAAAUUACAGAAAUGAUUGAAGUGCUUUUGUUGAAAUGAAUAUUAACUUUUGUAGACAAAAAAAUGAUUAUAUUUGCGCAUUUAUUUUUCGUCCUUCGUUUAUUUAUUUAGUAGUAAGUGUACAUCCAACACCAGUUGUUGCAAUGUUCAUUAGAAAUAUUAAUUGAUCAGCUGGUGUAACAAUGAAAAUAAUUAUAAAAUUGUGUUUUACCUACCUGUAGAAUUUAGAUUAACGGUAACUAUUAUACGUUUAGUGUCUUAUCAAAUAUUUUUUAAACGUCUGCAUCGUGCGUUUGAUAAUGGGGAUGUUGCAAUUUAAUAUCAUGUAACAUAUUGACAAUUGCAUUCACGUAGUUAAUAAGACACUCAAACGUUCACGUGCAUUAUCAAAGACGGCUACGUGAAUCCAAUGGUUUGUUUGAUUUGCGAUCAAGAUGAGUUAAUGAAUUACGUAAACCUGAUGUUUAAUAUAUUCGUACGCAUCUUGUCCACGUCUUCAGAGACGUAAGAUUAAUUGAACUGCGCACUUCUGCAUUGAAAUGAUCAGCAAAUUAUUAGUAACAAAGCCAUUAGAUAGAAAGAUGCAUAUCUUAAAAGUAAUAACAAAAUAUAUUAUACUGAUAUAUCAGUAUAAUAAUGUAAUUGUAAAUUUUGUUAACUCGUGUUUGAAUGGCAGGAAACAGGAAUAAGCAUAUUAAUAGAGUAAAAUGAAAGCGACAGCGCUAUCCUUGGAAACAUGUAGAUUAGUAUCUCGGAAAAAUUUGUAUUUAUUGAUUCGCUCUACUUUUAGUCGUGGCUCGUACAAUUAGAAAGCUAAUUUUUGUCGUUUGUUAAAUAUAUUGCACGCGAGAACAACCGGUUCUCCAGACAACAAUUUAUUUAUUCUAACUAUUUUUAUAUUUUUAAAAUAGAUUAUUCCUACACAUUCGAUUUGAUGCCGUGUAAACGGGAAACGAUUUGCAAGCUAAAGGAAAAUUUUAAUAAUAUUACGUCAGCAAAAUACGUGUAUUAUGAAUUUUUCCUAUAUAAAUUGAUAACACUAACUCAGAAUAAAAAUAAGAAAAUUAGUA
Molecule: long non-coding RNA, 1452 nt
Organism: Osmia bicornis bicornis
Lineage: Eukaryota; Metazoa; Arthropoda; Insecta; Hymenoptera; Megachilidae
Exons: 2
Source: RefSeq, a predicted model, not a curated record